CCUACGGGAGGCUGCAGUGAGGAAUAUUGGUCAAUGGUCGGGAGACUGAACCAGCCAAGCCGCGUGAGGGAGGAAGGUACAGAGUAUCGUAAACCUCUUUUGUCAGGGAACAAAGACUGGGACGCGUCCCCGGAUGAGUGUACCUGAAGAAAAAGCAUCGGCGAACUCCGUGCCAGCAGCCGCGGUAAUACGGAGGAUGCGAGCGUGAUCCGGAUUUAUUGGGUUUAAAGGGGGCGCAGCGCGUGUGAUAAGUCAGCGGUCAAAGCCCGGGGCUCAACCCCGGCCCGCCGUUGAAACUGGCAGUCGCGAGUGGGAGAGAGGUAUGCGGAAUGCGCGGUGUAGCGGUGAAAUGCAUAGAUAUCGCGCAGAACUCCGAUUGCGAAGGCAGCAUGCCGGCUCCACACUGACGCUGAGGCACGAAAGCGUGGGUAUCGAACAGGAUUAGAUACCCUGGUAGUC
RNAcentral lists this ribosomal RNA (459 nucleotides) under uncultured bacterium. Its description in RNAcentral is "partial 16S ribosomal RNA". It matches the Rfam family "Bacterial small subunit ribosomal RNA", at positions 338 to 795 of the family's 1533-position model. The record is from RNAcentral.